CUGCUUGGGUUUUCCCAGCCCGGGCCUCUGCCCCAGCCUCCUCCUUCAUGUGAGUUUCUGCCUUCCUGGACCAGGCUCAGCGGCCGGCUCCCCUGCACCCCCGCGAGGCUGCACGGCAGAACCAGCUGCAGAAGAGUCGGACGCCGCCCCGAGGGGGAGGCGCGUGGCCUUCCCGAGGGGCUGAGUGGCCGUUUCCUUGGACCGGCCCCGUGGGGGUGGCUGCGUGCGGCUGGCCCAGCAAAGCGCCGUGAGGCGGGACGGGGUGGACCCUGCUCACAGAAGAGGGCACUGCGAGCCACAGCACAGAGUCUAAGCGGGGUGAAAACCCAAGGCCGCAAGGACGGCAAACGUGGCCGAAGCUGUGCCCACAGACGCCCCACGGUCCCAGCAGCGUGAUGCUCCCGACGUCGCUCUGCCGGUUCUCUGCAGGGCCCCAGACACGCCGCUUCCUCCGGGGAGAAUUCCACCGUGGGCCUGGCCGCCACGGCCCUGCUCCCCGACCGC
This is a long non-coding RNA of Condylura cristata (star-nosed mole), 504 nucleotides long. RefSeq lists it as uncharacterized. The record is from RefSeq and is a predicted model, not a curated record. Lineage: Eukaryota; Metazoa; Chordata; Mammalia; Eulipotyphla; Talpidae. The transcript has 3 exons.